GACGAACGCUGGCGGCGUGCUUAACACAUGCAAGUCGAACGGUGAAGCGCCUUCCUUUUUGGUGGGUGUGGAUGAGUGGCGAACGGGUGAGUAACACGUGAGUAACCUGCCCCCUUCUUCUGGAUAACCGCAUGAAAGUGUGGCUAAUACGGGAUAUUCUGGGUCUGUCGCAUGAUGCGUCUGGGAAAGAUAUUGUUUCGGUGGGGGAUGGGCUCGCGGCCUAUCAGCUUGUUGGUGGGGUGAUGGCCUACCAAGGCGGUGACGGGUAGCCGGCCUGAGAGGGUGGACGGUCACACUGGGACGGAGACACGGCCCAGACUCCUACGGGAGGCAGCAGUGGGGAAUAUUGCACAAUGGGCGCAAGCCUGAUGCAGCGACGCCGCGUGAGGGAUGGAGGCCUUCGGGUUGUGAACCUCUUUCGCCAGUGAAGCAGGCCUGCCUCGUUUGUGGGUGGGUUGACGGUAGCUGGAUAAGAAGCGCCGGCUAACUACGUG
Molecule: ribosomal RNA, 494 nt
Filed under: uncultured bacterium
Lineage: Bacteria
Description: partial 16S ribosomal RNA
Rfam family: Bacterial small subunit ribosomal RNA
Source: RNAcentral